UACGUAGGGGGCAAGCGUUGUCCGGAAUCAUUGGGCGUAAAGGGCGCGUAGGCGGUUCGUACAGUCAGACGUGAAAUUCCUGGGCUCAACCUGGGGGCUGCGUUUGAUACGUGCGGACUUGAGUGCGGAAGAGGGUCGUGGAAUUCCCAGUGUAGAGGUGAAAUUCGUAGAUAUUGGGAGGAACACCGGUGGCGAAGGCGGCCACCUGGGCCGGAACUGACGCUGAGGCGCGAAAGCGUGGGGAGCAAACGGG
Molecule: ribosomal RNA, 253 nt
Filed under: uncultured bacterium
Lineage: Bacteria
Description: partial 16S ribosomal RNA
Rfam family: Bacterial small subunit ribosomal RNA
Source: RNAcentral